UUGUGAGGUUAAGCGACUAAGCGUACACGGUGGAUGCCCUGGCAGUCAGAGGCGAUGAAGGACGUGCUAAUCUGCGAUAAGCGCCGGUAAGGUGAUAUGAACCGUUAUAACCGGCGAUUUCCGAAUGGGGAAACCCAGUGUGAUUCGUCACACUAUCAUUAACUGAAUCCAUAGGUUAAUGAGGCGAACCGGGGGAACUGAAACAUCUAAGUACCCCGAGGAAAAGAAAUCAACCGAGAUUCCCCCAGUAGCGGCGAGCGAACGGGGAGGAGCCCAGAGCCUGAAUCAGCAUGUGUGUUAGUGGAAGCGUCUGGAAAGGCGCGCGAUACAGGGUGACAGCCCCGUACACAAAAGCGCAUGUGCUGUGAGCUCGAUGAGUAGGGCGGGACACGUGGUAUCCUGUCUGAAUAUGGGGGGACCAUCCUCCAAGGCUAAAUACUCCUGACUGACCGAUAGUGAACCAGUACCGUGAGGGAAAGGCGAAAAGAACCCCGGCGAGGGGAGUGAAAAAGAACCUGAAACCGUGUACGUACAAGCAGUGGGAGCACAGGUUUACCUGUGUGACUGCGUACCUUUUGUAU
RNAcentral lists this ribosomal RNA (581 nucleotides) under Salmonella enterica subsp. enterica serovar Newport. RNAcentral's name for it is "partial 23S ribosomal RNA". It matches the Rfam family "Bacterial large subunit ribosomal RNA", at positions 1 to 613 of the family's 2925-position model. The record is from RNAcentral. Lineage: Bacteria; Pseudomonadati; Pseudomonadota; Gammaproteobacteria; Enterobacterales; Enterobacteriaceae.